This 285-nucleotide ribosomal RNA is filed under the name uncultured bacterium. RNAcentral describes it as "partial 16S ribosomal RNA". It matches the Rfam family "Bacterial small subunit ribosomal RNA", at positions 28 to 313 of the family's 1533-position model. The record is from RNAcentral.
GACGAACGCUGGCGGCGUGCUUAACACAUGCAAGUCGAGCGGUAAGGCCCUUUCGGGGGUACACGAGCGGCGAACGGGUGAGUAACACGUGGGUGACCUGCCUUUAGCUCUGGGAUAAGCCUGGGAAACUGGGUCUAAUACCGGAUAUGACUCCAUGAUGCAUGUUGUGGGGUGGAAAGCCUUGUGCGGCUGGAGAGUGGGCCCGCGGCCUAUCAGCUUGUUGGUGGGGUGANGGCCUACCAAGGCGACGACGGGUAGCCGGCCUGAGAGGGCGACCGGCCACAC